RNAcentral lists this unclassified non-coding RNA (346 nucleotides) under soil metagenome. RNAcentral describes it as "partial contains 5.8S ribosomal RNA, internal transcribed spacer 2, and large subunit ribosomal RNA". The stretch from base 1 to 120 matches the Rfam family "5.8S ribosomal RNA", at positions 35 to 154 of the family's 154-position model. The record is from RNAcentral.
GAUGAAGAACGUAGUGAAAUGCGAUACGUAAUGUGAAUUGCAGAAUUCAGUGAAUCAUCGAGUCUUUGAACGCACAUUGCGCCCCCUGGUAUUCCGGGGGGCAUGCCUGUCCGAGCGUCAUUGCUGCCCUCAAGCACGGCUUGUGUGUUGGGCCCCGUCCUCCGAUUCCGGGGGACGGGCCCGAAAGGCAGCGGCGGCACCGCGUCCGGUCCUCGAGCGUAUGGGGCUUUGUCACCCGCUCUGUAGGCCCGGCCGGCGCUUGCCGAUCAACCCAAAUUUUUAUCCAGGUUGACCUCGGAUCAGGUAGGGAUACCCGCUGAACUUAAGCAUAUCAAUAAGCGGAGGA